CUACUCCCACAACAACAGAGUCUGGAGCAACAACAACAGUUGCUGCCACCACAACCACUCCUGCUAAAAUAUCUACCACAUCUGGUCCCACAACACCAACAGAAGCUGUCACAACAAUUUCAUUAACCCCCACAACACCAGCUGUUCAAACAACAACAUCACCUGAUCUCACAUCAAUGUCAACUACACCCAUCAACACAGGGGCUACCACAACAACAGGUUCUCCAACAGAAACCACAUCUGUUCCCUCAAUGACCACAACAGCUCUACCAACAACAACAGCGUUUGGAACAACAGUUUUUACAGAAACAGCAACCACACCUGCUGAUAUGACUACCACAUCUGGUCCCAUAACCACAUCAGCUGCUGUCACAACAAUUUCAGAAAAUCCCACAACAACAUCUGUUGCAACAACAACAUCACUUGAUGUCACAACAAUUUCUUCUACUCCCACAACAACAGAGUCUGGAGCAACAACAACAGUUGCUGCCACCACAACCACUCCUGCUGAAAUAUCUACCACAUCUGGUCCCACAACACCAACAGAAGCUGUCACAACAAUUUCAUUAACCCCCACAACACCAGCUGUUCAAACAACAACAUCACCUGAUCUCACAUCAAUGUCAACUACACCCAUCAACACAGGGGCUACCACAACAACAGGUUCUCCAACAGAAACCACAUCUGUUCCCUCAAUGACCACAACAGCUCUACCAACAACAACAGCGUUUGGAACAACAGUUUUUACAGAAACAGCAACCACACCUGCUGAUAUGACUACCACAUCUGGUCCCAUAACCACAUCAGCUGCUGUCACAACAAUUUCAGAAAAUCCCACAACAACAUCUGUUGCAACAACAACAUCACUUGAUGUCACAACAAUUUCUGCUACUCCCACAACAACAGAGUCUGGAGCAACAACAACAGUUGCUGCCACCACAACCACUCCUGCUAAAAUAUCUACCACAUCUGGUCCCACAACACCAACAGAAGCUGUCACAACAAUUUCAUUAACCCCCACAACACCAGCUGUUCAAACAACAACAUCACCUGAUCUCACAUCAAUGUCAACUACACCCAUCAACACAGGGGCUACCACAACAACAGGUUCACCAGCAGAAACCACAUCUGUUCCCUCAAUGACCACAACAGCUCUACCAACAAAAACAGCUUUUGGAACAACAGUUUUUACAGAAACAGCAACCACACCUGCUGAUAUGACUACCACAUCUGGUCCCAUAACAGCAUCAGCUGCUGUCACAACAAUUUCAGUAAAUCCCACAACAACAUCUGUUGCAACAACAACAUCACUUGAUGUCACAACAAUUUCAGCUACUCCCACAACAACAGAGUCUGGAGCAACAACAACAGUUGCUGCCACCACAACCACUCCUGCUGAAAUAUCUACCACAUCUGGUCCCACAACACCAACAGAAGGCUGUCACAACAAUUUCAUUAACCCCCACAACACCAGCUGUUCAAACAACAACAUCACCUGAUCUCACAUCAAUGUCAACUACACCCAUCAACACAGGGGCUACCACAACAACAGGUUCUCCAACAGAAACCACAUCUGUUCCCUCAAUGUCCACAACAGCUCUACCAACAACAACAGCGUUUGGAACAACAGGUUUUACAGAAACAGCAACCACACCUGCUGAUAUGACUACCACAUCUGGUCCCAUAACCACAUCAGCUGCUGUCACAACAAUUUCAGCAAAUCACACAACAACAUCUGCUGGAACAACAACAUCACUUGAUGUCACAACAAUUUCUGCUACUCCCACAACAACAGAGUCUGGACUAACAACAACAGUUGCUGCCACAACAACCUCUCCUGCUGAAAUAUCUACCACAUCUGGUCCCACAACACCAACAGAAGCUGUCACAACAAUUUCAUUAACCCCCACAACACCAGCUGUUCAAACAACAACAUCACCUGAUCUUACAUCAAUGUCAACUACACCCAUCAACACAGGGGCUACCACAACAACAGGUUCACCAGCAGAAACCACAUCUGUUCCCUCAACGACCACAACAGCUCUACCAACAACAACAACGUUGGGAACAACAGUUUUUACAGAAACAGCAACCACACCUGCUGAUAUGACAACCACAUCUGGUCCCAUAACAACAUCAGCUGCUGUCACAACAAUUUCAGUAAAUCCCACAACAACAUCUGUUGCAACAACAACAUCACUUGAUGUCACAACAAUUUCUGCUACUCCCACAACAACAGAGUCUGGAGCAACAACAACAGUUGCUGCCACAACAACCUCUCCUGCUAACAUAUCUACCACAUCUGGUCCCACAACACCAACAGCAGCUGUCACAACAAUUUCAUCAACCCCCACAACACCAACUGUUCCAAAAACAACAUCACCUGAUCUCACAUCAAUGUCAACUACCCCCAUCAACACAGGAGCUAUCACAAAAACAGGUUCUUCCACAGCAAUCACAUCUGUAUCCACAACAACUACAACUGCUCCAACAUCAACAACAAAAGAGUCUGGAACAAAAACAACAACAGCAAGAAUAACAACUGUUACUGCCACAACAAGCUCACCUUCUUACAUUCAUAACACAUCUGGAUCCUCGGCAUCAACAGCCGCUGUCACAAAAAAUUCAAAAACCUCCACAACACCAGUUGUCGCAACAAUAACAUCAGCUGCUGUCACAACAAUUAAAACCACUCCCAUAACAACAUUGGUUUCAACAACAACAUCACCUUAUCUCACAUCAAUGUCAACUUCUCCCUUCAACACAGGAGCUACCUCAAAAACUGGCUCUCCAACAGCAACCACAUCUCAUCCUAUAACGAGCACCACAGCUCCAACAACAACAAAAGAAUCUGAUACACCAACCACAUUUGCUGCCACCACAAACUCAACCGCUCACAUACAAAACAUAUAUGGUCCCACAACAUCAAGAGCUGCUGUCACAACAGUUUUAGAAACCCCCACAACACCAGCUGUUCCAACAACUACAUCACUUGAUGUCACAGCAGUUUCAGAAACUCCCACUAACACAAAAGCUACCACAACAACAGGUUCUUCGACAGCAACCAUAUAUGCUCACACAACGACCAGAACUGCUACAACAACAUCAGCGUUUGUUACAACAGAUUUCACAAUAAUAACAACCUCGCCUGCUGACAUGACCUCCACUUCUGGUCCCACCACAACAACAGCUACAGUCAGAAGAAUUUCAGCAACUCCUACAGCAACAUACGUUGCAUCAAAAACAUUGCCUGAUGUCACAACAAAUGUUGUUAUUCCCACAAAAACAGUUGCUGCUGCAUCAUCCUCACCUUCAGACAUGUCUACCUUUGUUACUCCAUCAAAAGCUGCUGUCACAACAACUGCAGCACACCCCACAAAUCCAGCUGUUUCCACAACAGGUCUUGUUUUAACAAAAACAACAACUUCACCUGCUCACAUGACUAACACAUCUGGUCCCACCACAGCAAAAGCUGCUGUCACAACAACUGAAGCACAUCCCACAAAUCCAGCUGUUUCCACAACAGGUCUUGUUUUAACAAAAACAACAAUUUCACCUGCUCACAUGACUAACACAUCUGGUCCCACCACAGCAAAAGCUGCUGUCACAACAACUGAAGCACAUCCCACAAAUCCAGCUGUUUCCACAACAGGUCUUGUUUUAACAAAAACAACAAUUUCACCUGCUCACAUGACUAACACAUCUGGUCCCACCACAGCAAAAGCUGCUGUCACAACAACUGCAGCACAUCCCACAAAUCCAGCUGUUUCCACAACAGGUCUUGUUUUAACAAAAACAACAAUUUCACCUGCUCACAUGACUAACACAUCUGGUCCCACCACAGCAAAAGCUGCUGUCACAACAACUGAAGCACAUCCCACAAAUCCAGCUGUUUCCACAACAGGUCUUGUUUUAACAAAAACAACAAUUUCACCUGCUCACAUGACUAACACAUCUGGUCCCACCACAGCAAAAGCUGCUGUCACAACAACUGCAGCACAUCCCACAAAUCCAGCUGUUUCCACAACAGGUCUUGUUUUUACACAAACAACAACUUCACCUGCUCACAUGACUAACACAUCUGGUCCCACCACAGAAAAAGCUGCUGUCACCACAACUGCAGCACACCCCACAAAUCCAGCUGUUUCCACAACAGGUCUUGUUUAUACAAAAACAACAACUUCACCUGCUCACAUGACUAACACAUCUGGUCCCACCACAUCAAAAGCUGCUGUAUCAACAAUUACAGGUACUCCCAGCAACACAAAAGCUGCCACAACUAAAGGUUCUCCCACAGCAACCACAGCUGUUCCAGCAACAGUCACAGCCACUACACCCACAGUGUCUGCCACAACAACCACUUCUCAGACUUCAGUGAUAUAUUCAACCAGAUCAGGCACAGUGGUAGUUUUUAUUAGACUGAUGUUCUAUCUCAACACAUUAGUCCCCACUGCGAAAGAUGUCCUUGCGAUCGUUGACAAGGAACUGCGCAAUCAAAUCAGGACUGUCACUCUACCUUCCACAACUACCUUCCAGAAUGCAACGUAUAUCAAACUUGCCAAUACAUCAUAUGCCAUUGAUCUUGCUUUCCAAAUAACCAACGUAACCAUGGAGGAGACACUGAGUCAAAGUGAUACAUUAACUUUCACUAGUGAAACAUACAACCAGAUACAGGAUUCAAUAAAUAGUCUACUGAAGAAUAUUGUCAGCAAACCAGACAGCAAACAAGUUUCCUUUCCUAAUGCCAGCUUCACUGUUGUUGGCAAUCACAUCAUUGCAGAUGUGUUAUAUGUGUACAACAAGACAGGCACCAAUCUUCCUAGUGACUUUGUAGAAGAAAUCUUGAAAGUCUCAGGUCUUCUGACAAGCACAGCUGCCCCAACAACCACAACCAGCACCACACCACUUCCUACCCAUUUGCUGACCACUUUUUUCAGUAGCAAAAGUGGUUUUCCUGGCUGGGCUCUGGCCAUUAUCAUUCCUUGUGGCAUUGCUAUAAUUCUCAUACCCCUCUGGAUCCUGCUAGCAUGCAUGCAAUGUGGUUGUUGUGCUACCAUUAGGAAACGCUGGCACAGACGAAGAUCAUACAAUGUACAAUACACCAUUAGAAACGGACUCUUCUGAGAGGACAAGAUAAACAAAUGAAUAGCCAAUUAUCUUACACUGAGAUUAUGCAAACACUGAGAUGAUAAAGCACAUAUUAGCUUAUAUACUGUUUAUCUACAAGGAUAUUGGAUAAUUUCACGUAUUCAAAAUGCAGUGCUUUAAAAUAUUAUAUAUAUGAUUUUAAUCAGCUGGUAAUUUGUAUGUAGAAUUUUUUUUUGUCAAUUUUGCUGUUGAUAUAAACCAUUUUUUAAUUCAUUGUAUUUAAAAAUCUUCCAUCCAACACUUGUUUAUGUAUUAUAAAAUUUGGUUAAAUAAUUUAUUGGAGAACAAUGCUCAGCAAUGUACAUACAGUGUCUUAUCUGUCUGGGUAAAUUACCAUCGCUGAUCUGGCUAUGCUUAUUAAUUGAAAGUUUGGGUUAUGUAUUUAUCUUUAACAUUUUUAGCCAUAAUUUUUCAUGGUUGAUUCAGGGUUAUCCACAUCCAUGUAGGAGUGUUGAGAAACAUUUUACUUUACACAAAUAUUUAAAUGUUAAUUUACUUUUGGUUCUCUAAAAUGGGUGCUUACAUUUGUACCUUUCCACAGAAUAUGAAUUAAAAAGAAUGUAAUAAGUUUGCACUGUAUCAUUUCAAAA
RNA transcript from Esox lucius (northern pike), 5738 nucleotides. RefSeq lists it as uncharacterized. The record is from RefSeq and is a predicted model, not a curated record. NCBI's taxonomy places the organism in Eukaryota, Metazoa, Chordata, Actinopteri, Esociformes, Esocidae. The transcript is spliced from 7 exons.